CCCACACCACAUGGUCUUUUUUACAAUUUCGAACGUCCGUGCGGACGUUGCCCAACUUACGUAUAACUAGAGAAUGACCAGGCCGCGACAUGAACAUGGCGACGUGUCGAUUAUGAGAUGGAUUUGAUCUACUCAUUACUCUUGUCUCUCUGUUUAGUUCAUGUCUGCGGUUCCUGAGCAGAUGUUGCUGCACUGCACGGUGCUGCUGGCCUGCAGGCUGGUGUCAGGUGAGCUGCCGCUGCGUUGCCCGGCGGGCGGUGACGGCGUCAGGACGCUGCUGGGGCAGCUGGCUGCGCUGCUGGGCAGCUGUUCCUCACCAGGCCCUCUGCAAAUGCUGUUCAGCUCCCCCACUCUCGCCGCCAUUUCCGCCACCACAGACUGGGAGGUGAGCAGGAAAUGAAACAUUCGGACCAAUCCAAAUAUGGUCAAUCAUUCCCUCAAUCAUUAUCCAUACUGUAAAGUAUAAUAAAGACUUGUCAGAAUCCCAGCCACAGUGUUGCCAGAUUGUCCAAAAAGGGUUCGGCUGCUACGAUAUCUAAAUUGCCCUGUGAGUCUGAAGACAUCAGUGCAGACUGAAGCUUAGCUAAACAUUUUUUAUUGUACAUGUAGAACUAAUAAGUGUAAUACAUAUGCAAAAAUGAGCCAAAUUAGAAAUUACCACCUAUUAACACUUUUUUUUUUUUUUUUUGCAAUUUGCUGCUUCAACCAACACAAUUUCAAAUACCAAUGCUGACCUUUAUUUUCUUCCCCCUCUCUCGCCACCCCAGCGGAACAACUUCCUGUUCUUGGUGCAGCUCCUACUGGACAAAGGACUUGUGCGUGUGGAGCAGGUGCUGUCUCUCACGCAGGCCAGCAGAGGGAGCCCUCACACCGCCCAGCUCUGCGCUUCACUCUCCAACAGCCUGGACUCACUAAACAUCGACCUGGACAACUGAUGUCCGAGCUGAUCAUACGUGAUUUAAAAUGAAAGCAGAUUUUGGGGUGUCAGGAAUAGCAGAGUCAUGUUUGUUGGGCGCCCUGCACGUUAGUUUAUCUGUUUUAUUGCAUAGGCAUAAUCCCACAUUUUAGCAAGAGUUUAGAAACGCUUUGUAAUAUUUUAUGAUGCCAUUUUAAAGUACCCAUGCACUUGGGUUUUGAUUUUUCUCCGCGCUUUGCCAUUGUUUAUCUGCAUAGACUCGGUAGCAUGAAUUGACAUGUAAAAGACAGUAAAUUAUCUGUCUUGUCUAAGAUCCGGUGAUUGCAUUCCAGAAUGGGAAUUUUUAAAUGCAAUACACUUUUCACUUGGUACUGACUGUCCUGCUUGAGGACAGGUCGAUUUUUUUAAUAAAUGUAUUUUGGUAUGCAUUUGUCAGAUUUUUAGUUCACGUUGGACUUUUAUAAUUGAAAUCUGUUGCUUUUACGACUGUGUUGUUGAGGCCUUUGAAAAAUUAUUAAAUGAAUAAAGCAAU
Molecule: long non-coding RNA, 1448 nt
Organism: Denticeps clupeoides (denticle herring)
Lineage: Eukaryota; Metazoa; Chordata; Actinopteri; Clupeiformes; Denticipitidae
Source: Ensembl